CGACGUCACCUUCUCUCACGGCACCAUUAUCGAUUUCCAUGGUUGGAAAUGUAUAAAAUCAGUUUGUCUCUAUUUCUCUGGACUUUUGCAGACCACCUCUGUCUUCCAUUGACAUUUCGACACUUAAUUUCUCUAUUCCAAGGAAAAUGUUGCCAAUCCAUAUGAGCGAUUUGGCGUAAUCUUCGUGCCAAAAUCAAAUCUCAACAUUGUCGGUGACUACCUCAUGAAGGACGUCGCCGCGCCUGUCAAGGACCAGCAGAAAUUGAAAUCCAGGCUGAUGUCGGUGGCAGCACAGAAAUUUGUGGAUUGCCCAUGGCUGUUGAGAUUUCCAGUGUACCACAAUCUACCCCACACCAACUAUAACUCCAAGCAAAAGUCAACCUGCAACCCAUGGAACAACUGCAUCAUUGGAGUCUGUAGAUAUCACAGAACUGAAAUUGCUGCUCUCCAGUCCACAGCAGGCAUACCCACGUACAAAGCAUUUGUGUUCAUUUCUCUACCAUAAGCCGCUUCCAACAUCGUUUUAGAGAAUUUGGCAGUACGUCUAACCGGCCUCACAACCGCAGACCACGU
Long non-coding RNA from Salvelinus namaycush (lake trout), 573 nucleotides. RefSeq lists it as uncharacterized. The transcript is spliced from 3 exons. The record is from RefSeq and is a predicted model, not a curated record. Lineage: Eukaryota; Metazoa; Chordata; Actinopteri; Salmoniformes; Salmonidae.